GACGAACGCUGGCGGCGUGCCUAAUACAUGCAAGUAGGACGCUGAAGGAGGAGCUUGCUCUUCUGGAUGAGUUGCGAACGGGUGAGUAACGCGUAGGUAACCUGCCUGGUAGCGGGGGAUAACUAUUGGAAACGAUAGCUAAUACCGCAUAAGAGUAGAUGUUGCAUGACAUUUGCUUAAAAGGUGCACUUGCAUCACUACCAGAUGGACCUGCGUUGUAUUAGCUAGUUGGUGGGGUAACGGCUCACCAAGGCGACGAUACAUAGCCGACCUGAGAGGGGGGACGGCCACACUGGGACUGAGACACGGCCCAGACUCCUACGGGAGGCAGCAGGAGGGAAUCUUCGGCAAUGGACGGAAGUCUGACCGAGCAACGCCGCGUGAGGGAAGAAGGGUUUCGGAUCGGAAAGCUCUGUUGGAAGAGAAGAAAGAGUGUGAGGGUGGAAAGUUCACACUGUGACGGUAUCUGACCAGAAAGGGACGGCUAACUACGUG
This 495-nucleotide ribosomal RNA is filed under the name uncultured bacterium. RNAcentral describes it as "partial 16S ribosomal RNA". It matches the Rfam family "Bacterial small subunit ribosomal RNA", at positions 28 to 507 of the family's 1533-position model. The record is from RNAcentral.